Molecule: long non-coding RNA, 305 nt
Filed under: Elaeis guineensis (African oil palm)
Lineage: Eukaryota; Viridiplantae; Streptophyta; Magnoliopsida; Arecales; Arecaceae
Description: long non-coding RNA (EGUI_LNC065743)
Source: RNAcentral
ACCUUCGUCGAUAAUGACAUGCCCUGAAGCAGUUCUACACUCGAGGGUACACUCGAGUCUCUGUCAUCAAACCAUCCGUCAGUUAUACAACCCUUAUGCUCCUCAGACCAAACCUAGGUAAUCUUGAUUGACACCCUUAUUGCUCUCAAUCUCUAUUCUUACCAAAAUGCUUAGCUUCUCUCUCUAAACUAAGUCUAGAUUUUCUGAUAUUGCACCUCAGACCAAGGUUAAGUAAUAUUAUUUUAUGCCCCUACUGCUCAUCAAACCUUGAUCUUUCUGAACUACUUCUCUCUCCUCGAACUCUG